UAGACAUCUGCUUGAUGCUGCUUUCUAAACCUUACCUCUAUGACAAUCUGA
This 51-nucleotide ribosomal RNA is filed under the name uncultured Inocybe. RNAcentral describes it as "partial 28S ribosomal RNA". Lineage: Eukaryota; Fungi; Basidiomycota; Agaricomycetes; Agaricales; Cortinariaceae. The record is from RNAcentral.